This is a long non-coding RNA of Bubalus bubalis (water buffalo), 962 nucleotides long. RefSeq lists it as uncharacterized. The record is from RefSeq and is a predicted model, not a curated record. The transcript is spliced from 2 exons. NCBI's taxonomy places the organism in Eukaryota, Metazoa, Chordata, Mammalia, Artiodactyla, Bovidae.
GCCUGGCCGAAGUCACCGGGUAUGUCCCCCCUCGGUGGCCGCUCAACACCGGAAUUUCCGAAUUCAAGUCCUGAGGGCUGCCUGGCGGCAGCAACCAAAAAAGAACCCGGGGAAGGCUCCCGGAGCUAGGGUUCCUGUCCCCGGGCCAGGCUAACCUUGAUUUUGCGUUUACACUGCGCUAAGAGCUUUAUUGGAUCCUGCCAACCACCCUGGACGCGCCACAGUGGCUUAAACAGUGUUGACAGCCUAGAGUGUGGACUCCCUGGUUGCUCAGUGAUAAGAAAUCCACCUGCCAAUGGAGGGGACACAGAUUAGAUCUCUGAUUUGAGAAGACGCCACAUGCCUCGGAGCAACUAACCCCAUGCACCACAACUACUGAGCCUGUGCUCUAGAGCCUGGGAGCCACAACUGAGUCCCCGUCCUACAACUACAGAAGCCCAAGCGCCCUAGAGCCUGUGCUCCACACGGAGAAAAGCCACUUCAAGGAGAAGCCAGUGAACUGCAACUAGAGAGUAGCCCUCAUUCUCCACAACUAGAGAAAAGCCCACACAGCAGAGAAGACCCAGCACAGUGAAAAACAAAAAGAAAAUUUAAAGAACCUACUGUGUGCCAGGCAUCAUUCCAGGUGCUGGGGGCACAGUAAUGAACAGAAGAGACCAAAAUUCCUGCCAUCAUGCAGAGAUCGUUAUUAAAAGUAGGAGCAACAGAAACAAAAAUAAAAUACAUAAAGGGACUUCCCUGGUGGGCCACUGGCUAAGAUUCCACUGUCCAAAAGCCCCAGCCCAGGUUCCAUCCCUGGUCAGGGAACUAGAUCCCAUGUGGCAUCACUAAGAGUUCACAUGCCUCAACUAAAGAUUCCCCAAGUGGAAGUAGAAGAUGGAGGAUCACCCAAGCAACAACUAAGACUCAACACAGAUAAAUAAAUGCAUAAAUGUUUAAAAAAUAAAACAUAUGGAGACGUA